This 664-nucleotide long non-coding RNA is filed under the name Mytilus galloprovincialis (Mediterranean mussel). The record is from RNAcentral. Lineage: Eukaryota; Metazoa; Mollusca; Bivalvia; Mytilida; Mytilidae.
GUCCUAUUUACUUCCCUCUUAUUUUCAAGGGAAAUCGACAAUUUGUCAAACCCCCUUUUUUUCACCGGUCUAGGACAAACAUGAUGAAUUGACAUUUUCUUAUAAAAAAAUCAUUAAUAAAAUGCUAAAUUAUUUUCCUAAGAUCUAUUUUGUAACUGAAUCUGGGACUUAAUCAUUUCUUUAAAUGCCCGAGCAUACAGUUAUAUUUUUUUAUUUUUAUUGUUUCAAUUGCCAUGUACAUGUAUGAGGCUAAAAAAGGUCACCAUUUGUAAGGAUAUGAAGGUGUUUUACAGAUAUUAGAAUAAUGUACAAAAAAGUAAGUCUGGAAGCAAGGCCAAAAAAAUAUAGAGGUGAUGAAGAAAAUAUUGAUUGAUUGUAUGUUGUUUAACGUCCAGUGGCAAAUAUUUGAUGCAUGUUGAGGACAAAUAUAAUAACAGAUCAAUUGGCAGGAAAAGAAAGUAUAAAGUGAAAUAGUAAAAGCAAUAAAAAAAAUCUAGAAAUAUAGAGAUAAAGAAACGAUGAUCUGACCCUCCCCCCUUUUAAAAAACAACAACCAAAAAAAAAAACACUCACACUCGCAUAUACCGUAUAUACAUCUCUAAAAAAUCUAAAAUUUUGGUUUCAUGGUGCCCCCCCAGAGAUCAAGGUUCUGGAUCCGCCCCUG